Molecule: ribosomal RNA, 451 nt
Filed under: uncultured bacterium
Lineage: Bacteria
Description: partial 16S ribosomal RNA
Rfam family: Bacterial small subunit ribosomal RNA
Source: RNAcentral
AGCGAACGCUGGCGGCAGGCUUAACACAUGCAAGUCGAGCGGGCGUAGCAAUACGUCAGCGGCAGACGGGUGAGUAACGCGUGGGAACGUACCUUUUAGUUCGGAACAACACAGGGAAACUUGUGCUAAUACCGGAUAAGCCCUUACGGGGAAAGAUUUAUCGCCGAAAGAUCGGCCCGCGUCUGAUUAGCUAGUUGGUAGGGUAAUGGCCUACCAAGGCGACGAUCAGUAGCUGGUCUGAGAGGAUGAUCAGCCACAUUGGGACUGAGACACGGCCCAAACUCCUACGGGAGGCAGCAGUGGGGAAUAUUGGACAAUGGGGGCAACCCUGAUCCAGCCAUGCCGCGUGAGUGAUGAAGGCCCUAGGGUUGUAAAGCUCUUUUGUGCGGGAAGAUAAUGACGGUACCGCAAGAAUAAGCCCCGGCUAACUUCGUGCCAGCCGCCGCCGUAA